RNAcentral lists this ribosomal RNA (460 nucleotides) under uncultured bacterium. RNAcentral describes it as "partial 16S ribosomal RNA". It matches the Rfam family "Bacterial small subunit ribosomal RNA", at positions 338 to 795 of the family's 1533-position model. The record is from RNAcentral.
CCUACGGGCGGCUGCAGUGAGGAAUAUUGCACAAUGGGCGAGAGCCUGAUCCAGCCAAGUCGCGUGAAGGAUGAAGGAUCUAUGGUUUGUAAACUUCUUUUAUAUGGGAGUAAAGUGAGGAACGUGUUCCAUAUUGUAUGUACCAUAUGAAUAAGCAUCGGCUAACUCCGGGCCAGCAGCCGCGGUAAUCCGGAGGAGGCGAGAGUUAUCCGGAUUUAUUGGGUUUAAAGGGUGCGUAGGUGGUUAAUUAAGUCAGCGGUGAAAGUUUGUGGCUCAACCAUAAAAUUGCCGUUGAAACUGGUUGACUUGAGUAUAUUUGAGGUAGGCGGAAUGCGUGGUGUAGCGGUGAAAUGCAUAGAUAUCACGCAGAACUCCGAUGGCGAAGGCAGCUUACUAAACUAUAACUGACACUGAGGCGCGAAAGCGUGGGGAGCAAACAGGAUUAGAUACCCUGGUAGUC